UUCUGGGGGCGUCUGGUGACUGAUUGGUGACUCUUUGUAUUUAAGAAGGACACACUUGGGGCUGGCCCAGUGGCACAGCAGUUAGGUUAGCGUGUUCUGCUUUGGCGGCCCGGCGUUCGCUGGUUUGGAUCCCGGGUGCCGACAU
Molecule: microRNA precursor, 145 nt
Organism: Equus caballus (horse)
Lineage: Eukaryota; Metazoa; Chordata; Mammalia; Perissodactyla; Equidae
Source: Ensembl